UACGUAGGGUGCAAGCGUUAAUCGGAAUUACUGGGCGUAAAGCGUGCGCAGGCGGUUAUGCAGGACAGAUGUGAAAUCCCCGGGUUCAACCUGGGAACUGCAUUUGUGACUGCAUAGCUAGAGUACGGUAGAGGGGGAUGGAAUUCCGCGUGUAGCAGUGAAAUGCGUAGAUAUGCGGAGGAACACCGAUGGCGAAGGCAAUCCCCUGGACCUGUACUGACGCUCAUGCACGAAAGCGUGGGGAGCAAACAGG
This 253-nucleotide ribosomal RNA is filed under the name uncultured bacterium. RNAcentral describes it as "partial 16S ribosomal RNA". It matches the Rfam family "Bacterial small subunit ribosomal RNA", at positions 524 to 776 of the family's 1533-position model. The record is from RNAcentral.